UUGGGGAAUGGUUGGUGCUUUGCUCAGCAGUGUGAGGAGUUUUAAUGACUGUUGAAUUCUCUAGCAAGUUGUACAACGUAUGUCAAGUUCUUGAUACGAGACUUGAAUUUUCUGCACUUUACAUUAAAGUCCCACUCCAAUUGUUUUUUUUUUUUUUCAUUUAUUUUUUGCUUACAACUUAAAGUGUUCUCAGUGGUCUUUAAAUUGUGAUCAUGACGUUUUUAGUCAAAAUCACGCUACCUGUGUCAUUUUCAAGGGCUUUUCCUCUGCAGAGCUCCAGUAGCUCAUUAGCAAUUCACCUCUGAGUCGUGGGCAGAGACAGCGCUGCUCUGCACACUCCUCUUCACGCUAGCCUGCAGCCUAACAUUGCCGCUGUAGUAGAAGUAGCUCAUAGAAGUAUAACAUCGGAGCUAUUCAGCUCUCGGACACUAUUGUCUUUAGGGGCAUGAUGAAGGUUAAUAUCAUAAUUAGCUUUCUUACGAGCUUUGCAAACUGCUAACGCACACGCUUGUUUUUUACGAUCAUCCUCUUUAUCUCUCCGAGUCUGGCCUGCAUAGUGGGACUCUGGGGGCGGAGCUUGGAUUUGCUACAUAGGAAAUCUCACUGUAUCUGAACCUGCUGUUUGGGUCUGCCAGAGUCACAGCGAUUUGAAUGCAGAAAUACUCAGAAAUGCAAUUUUUCUAAUAUGUCCUGUAGCAUCAGAAAAAUUCCAUAUGAACAUGUAGACAACAAGAAAAACAUGAUUUUCAUUGGAGUGGGUCGUUAAGUUUUGGUUUUGGUCCCUUUAUAGGAUACAGUGACAGCAUGAAAAAAAAAUCACCAACAGUUUCUUGCAGAGGCGAAGGUCAGUGACCUACUAAAGACAUAGAUGCUUAGUUGACUUUGUCAAAAGUGCUCCUGUCAAUAUCAACAACCCUCCACUAUUUCUGGCUCAAAUAACCACUCUUCAAAUCUUUGAGGGUGAUCCAGAGUGUUCUUUCUCUUUCUGUGGUGGAUGCAGUCUCAGCAGGGAUCUGUUGUGUCAGGAAGCUUUAAACAGCAUCUCUCAAUCUCCAGCAUAAAUAAAACACUGAUGUUCUUACAGGGACUUCAGCCAGCAGCAUUUUAAACAUUUGGUACACCUGAGAAAUGUUGGGAAAUAGACACAAAAUGACUAUUUAACCUGGAAAGGCUUGGCUCAGUGUCACGGCGGAUAUCAUUAAUUCAAGCUAUUGGCUCGUGUUUGUUUGUGCCUCUCCAUGGUAUACUCCCUUUCAGUUAUAACACAGUGCAGUGACAGCUGGUGUACCGGGAGCACAUUGGAUUACAAUAAAAGCAGGAUCAGAAAGGACUGUUUUUCUUAAGGAAGAAAUAGGAUAAUACUCAUCUCUGGGUCUGGUAGCUAGUUUUUACACGGUCUGCAUGAGGCAAAGAUUUUUUUUUUUGUCUGAAUAACAUUCUUAUUAAAGUUGUUUCUGCAGCAGCUGGUUUUAACGCACUCACUCUAAAUGCUAUCAGGCCAGAGAAUAGACUGUUUUCUGCAGCCCGCGUGUGGCAGCUAUUAGAGGAAGUGACAUCAACUGCAGAGCCUCAAUCCUGUGCCACUAAACCCCUUAGUGGAUGAAAUUGGAGGGAGAUGCAAAUGAUUAUCUGUAAUAGUCAUGUUAGGCAGCCCAUUCACACUCAGUCCAGUCCUUGCCAGUUGGCUGUAAUUGCAUCAAUUUAAAAUGAUUUUGUCCUGUUUGCUUGCAGAUACAUAAACACACGUAUGGCUGUGAAUAGUAUCCGUGGUUACAGCUGUGUCUGUGCACUUUGCAGUUUGUAUGAAUGAGUUUCAUUUGGCUCAGUGUGCACCUCAUGUCAGCGCCAUUUUACAAAGCUCUGUAUCUUGGUAACAGCACGUAAAAGGUUGGUUUUUUGCAGCAUCUCUGCUCAGUAACUACUUCAAAAGACAUACAUCAUGGAUAUUCAUCCAGCCCCCUCAGUAAUCACGACAUUUAAGAUUCUGGCACAGUUUCACACACAACUUGGCUUCACAGAUGUAUCUUCUCUGCUCCUAUUCAUGAUCCGUUCUUUUUACUUUGCAUCCAAGCUAGAUUUUGUACCUCCUUUACAGCUUAAAUACAGCAUUUCUGGUAUUUUUAGUUGAAAAUCUGUGAAUAUAUCAGAAGCCCUGGAGACAUAUUUAAGGUGACUGUAUUAUUUAUCAAUUUUAUCCAUUCGGCUUCUUACAAAGGAGACAUUUUCUAAAUUUAAAACUAAGAUUCCUCAUUCAAAUUCAAACCAGACUCAGUAAAUGAUGAAAUAAUUACAGAUGAAGAGGUUUGUAUCCCAAAUAUACAAUAUUAUUCACUUCAUUACUGAGGCUAACAUUGUUGAAGUGAAGGUAGAUUGAGAAAAAGUAUGUGGACACUGUGGUUCAUGCUGACUUAAUCCUAUCCCAAAUACAUUGGGUGUAUCUUACUUUUAUAGAUUGAUUUACCUUUCCUUUAACUGAAUGACUUUGCAGAUCAGUAAUAUUCUGUAAUAUUUUGUUCUCCAUCUCCUCAUUUUUGCUCAUUUGACUCAUAUAACCUUGGUUAUGUAUAUAUCUCCUUUUUUUCUCUCUCUAUGUUUAUUUGUUAGCCAUAGAAAUUUUGUUGUAAUUGGUGACAUGGGUGGAACUUAAGUAGAACUUAAGCUUCAUUCUCUCCUUGCUCCAUCGAAAAUGUUAGUGUGCUAAAUAAAUAUACCUAAACCUAAACCGAAAGACCGUCAUUCAAAACAACCGAACUCAUGUGAAUGAAGUCACAGUCGCAAGAUUUUAACUGAGAGCAGCCAAGUGCAAAAAUGCAAACAGAAAUCUUGGUCCCAGCUUAAAAUGUUAAAAUGAUGCAUGCCAAGCAUUAUUAGGCAGCCUUACAUCUACCAGAGAAAAAAACAAAAAUGAAUCAGCCAGCCCAAACAUUAAGGUUUUUUGUUUUGUUUUGUUUUGUUUUUUUAAGAAAAAAAAACAAAAAAAAACAAAACAAAGGCUAAUGUGGAUGAGAAUGGAUCAGUUAUAAACAAAAAGCAGUUAAUGCCAAAACUAUAGACAGCUGUAGUUCACCACACACUCAAAUGCAUACGUGAAAGUCCUUUGACAUAACUGCGUAUUUAGCGCAUGAAAAUAUUACAUGUUGUAGCGUCUUUAUUUUAUGAGGCCAGUAAAUACAAGACAUAGAAUUAGAAAUAAAAAAUCAGUCUUUAAAGCCUUUCUUAAAGUUAGUUGUUUACAUUUUCACCAUCCUAGUAAUGUGUAGGCAACAAUUUUGUAAUAUUUUAGGGAUUUUAUUGGUGUUUUCGUAUAUAUUAUCCUGUAUUUUUUUCCAAAAUUUUAUGAUCAAUCAUAUUAUGUUAAACAUAUGAUAUAAUUUCUGAUUUGUGCAUUUUAAAAUGUUUUAUAAUAUAAUAAGUACAAUGGGAUAAAAAAUAAUUAAUAGACUGGGUGUUAUUUCAUGUAUUGACAAUGUCUGACUUAUAUCAUGCAGUGAUAUCAAUGUUAAGUUUCAGUGUGGCAUCAGAGUCUCAACAAAAAACAGGGACAGCCUUAGUGAGAAGGUUAUCCUUGGUUUCACUGUUGGUAUAGAGAAUCAACUCCUAUUGACAUGCGGUUUUGACCAACUGAUAAUUAUUAUUAUUUUUUUUGUAGAGAGCUUUGUGGGAGUCUUGACUUGAGAUACGUGAAAUAAUGAUGAGCAAAACAGUAACAAUAUUGACUAUUUCACUGGAAUAAUACGCAACAUUCAUUCAUAUGAAAAUAAAUCAAAGUUGUAGGUCUGUAUUACUCCAUUUUGUCCACAGAUAUGAGGCUAAGGUUGACUUAAGUCAUUGUAGAUGAUUGGCUCAGUCAUGAGUGGAAGUUUGUGAUGUGAUGUGAGUAGGGCACAGAUUUGUGAACUAAUAUUGGUCCUUUUGGGGCAACACUAAAGCAAGUCUUGAAUGUCGAUCAGCUACUGUGGAAUGUAUUUUUCUCUAUGUAGCCCUGGUGGACCCCCUGCCCCCAACCCUUACCCCGCCUAUAAACAGCUGUUUGAUUAGAGCUGCCCUCCACUGCAUCACCAGGCUUCUUCCCUCUAUGUUGUGUUUGUGUUGGCUGGUCUUGCCACACAUCUGGCAGGGUGUUUUUUAUUUUUUUCCCCCCACUUUCAUCAGGGCCACUAACCCUGAGGAUCUGAGAGCCGCUUUCUCUGUAUUAUUCAUUUCAUUCACGUUGCUGUUUAGCCGAGAGGCAGAACGAGGACCCUUCAAAAGCGGCCCAGAAUGACCGGCUAUUUUGUCAGCACUUAAUUGCAUCGGUACAUUUAGAGUGCCUGCAAAAUGUUUAAUGCAAGGAGCUGAACAGGUGUAAUUACUGUUCAUUUGACGAGUUGUAAGAUGAUAGUCGUCGUGUAAUGUGUUAAUGUACUUCAGAGGAAAGCAACCGGCAUUAGCAUUUCUACCACAGGCUUAUUUUGGGCCUCAGUAUGACCAUCAGCAUCUCUGCCACGCUCAUAUCCUCAUUUUCAUCAUCAGAGCUGCUAUCAUCAUUAUCACAACAGUUUCUGCAAACUGAUGUUGGAGACUCUGCAGUGCUCCAAACAGCAUAAUUACCAGUGUGCUGGAUUUACUAAACAAAACACCUUUGGAAAAAACUCUGCAGUAGAUGUUUUUCCCCCUCUGUCUUUAGCAGGAUUCAAACCAUGUAAUGCUUACUUUCAGGGCAACAUUGUGGGCAAUUUUCUUUAUGAUGUCUACAAUGUUUAAUGUUUGGACAACUGCACUGCAGUGAGGCUUAAUUCCUGUCAAACAAAAUCCACACCUAGUUUUCACUGCACUUCAAUUACUAUGUGACUUAUAGAACUGUGUGGAUCUAUGUAGGCAUUUUUGAUGAGCGCUCUUUCUAUGAAUCCAUCCUCCUGCAUAAAUGGGAGAGCUAUACAAAACAGCACAGUAUGAUGAGAUGGGUCUGUCAUGACAAUGAGGAUGUACAUUGUUCUUGACACAUAUUGGUUCUUUAAUACUAUAAAGCAGAUGAGUACUAAGACUUCUGGUCAUAUCUUUGAGGUAGGCAUUAGAAAAGAUAAUAAGAUGGUGAUACAACUCCAUAUCCAAAGAAGGUGUGUGAAAUGUUCAUAAAAGGAGAUUUUGACGGUUUUCAAAUCAUCAAUGAAUUCCAGAUCGUGCAAAAACAAUGCAUCAAAUGUUGAAACCAUCAGACUCUUCUGUUUCAUGAUGCUCUUUUCAAAAUGCUCUUUUGAUGCCUGCAGGGACAGGUUUACUUUUGUGUUGCAUCACCUCUUCUUUUAACAACACUGUAAAUGAUUGAGAGCGGUGAAGACUAGCUUCUGGAGUUUUGAAAGUGAAAAGUUGUCUUGUGUCCCAAUUCAAGGGCUGCAGCCAACAAAGCCUCCUCCAAAUGCAGUUGACUGCC
Molecule: long non-coding RNA, 5410 nt
Filed under: Xyrichtys novacula (pearly razorfish)
Lineage: Eukaryota; Metazoa; Chordata; Actinopteri; Labriformes; Labridae
Source: RNAcentral